Molecule: RNA transcript, 1804 nt
Organism: Adelges cooleyi (spruce gall adelgid)
Lineage: Eukaryota; Metazoa; Arthropoda; Insecta; Hemiptera; Adelgidae
Gene name: synaptic vesicle membrane protein VAT-1 homolog
Exons: 8
Source: RefSeq, a predicted model, not a curated record
UAAUAUAUCUUAUUGUUUGGAUAAAUUUAAAUUUUAAAUUUCCCAAAUAUGUCUACUCGCGUUUAAGAAUCCUUCAGAAAAAAAAAACGCCAGUUAUUUGACUUGUAUGUAAAAACCGUUGAAUUUAUCAAAAUUUUCGUUGCAAAACCCAAAUUGAAAAUUUAAAAAAAAAUCAAGAAGAUAAUAAUAUCACUCGCACAAUGAUCACAACACGGAAUAGAACAUUUUUUAAGAUCGUCGAGAAUAAAAAUAUCAUAGUAUUGCAAUUGAAACACCGAAAACUAUUCAAGUGGAAUGCCAGUUCAAAACCGUCUCUUGUAGUGUUGUCAAAAAUGAGUACGGUCGAACAGAAAAAAUCGGUGAAGUCCGUCGUUUUGGAAGCAUACGGCGGGUACGAUAAAUUGAAAGUACAGGAUUGGCCGCUCGACGAAUUGGGCGAUAACGACGUACGUGUCCGCGUCGAGCUCUGCGGCAAUAACUUUAGCGACAUUUACACGAGACAAGGUUUUCUGCGACAACUGACGACGCCUCGCGUACUCGGCACAGAGUGCUUUGGUACGGUAGAGUCUAUUGGAAACGACGUGAAAAAUUUCCAAUGUGGAGAUCGGGUGGUAUGUUACGUUUGGACGGGCGGUCUGUUCAGGGAAACAGUCGUAGUGCCCGCUAUCAAUUGUUUUUCGGUGCCCGCCAGCGUAAGCGGCCGAGAUGCUGUCGCGCUACCAGCCAAUUAUUUGACCGCUUACAUGAGCAUCUUCACAAUGGGAAACUUACGACCCAGAGACACUAUACUCGUACAUUCAGCGGGCGGCGGUGUCGGAUGUGCAAUCGCUCAGCUAGCCAAAACCGUUGACAACGUGACGGUCGUCGGGACCGCUUCUGCUUUUAAGCACGAAAAAAUACGAGAAAUUGGAGUUCACCAUACGUUGUUGCAUGAAAACUACGUCGAACAAGCGAGAGCAGUCUGUCCCAAAGGAUUCGACUUAAUAGUAGACAGCAAAGGCGGUCCGAACAUUGAACUAAGUCAGAAACUACUGAAACCUUGCGGUCGACUAGUUAUUAUCGGUGCUAGUACUUACAUAAACGGUGACACGUUAAACACGUUGAAAGCGAUGUCGGUAAAGUGGCGUACAAAAAGUAUCGAUCCUGAAAAAAUUAUCCAAAGAAACAUUUGCGUUUCAGGACUUCAUUUAGGCGAACUAUUCGAUUCCGACGCUAACAAAAUACACGACGUCAUGCACAAAUUGUUUGACAUGAUCGAAAACGGCCAGAUCAAACCAGUUAUUUUCGAUACUGUUCACUUUGACCGCGUUGUUGAAGCGCAACAAAUUCUAGCAGAAAGAAAAAACAUCGGUAAAGUUUUAUUGACGUUGAGUCAAACAUGAACGACGGACAAGUGAUCGAGGCAACGAGCACAUUAUACGUUUAACGUUUGGUUAAGCUGAAUAGCGUUUUAAAAGGAUCUGUGCAGGGUGUAGACGAUGUUGUUGCCUCUUUAUUAUCCAAGUGUGGUUUGCUAGGAUUAUAGGACUAUAGUACACAAUUUCCAAAAAACAUACAUUAAACAACUUGAGAUUGACUCAACUGACCGCAUGUGUAUCUUAAACAUUGAUGUUAAAAAGCGAUACAGCACAGAUGAUGUCGAAUCACUUGAAGAACAGUUAAGACUCGGACGUCCACGAGUUCCACUCACAUCCUAACCUAAUGAUAGAAAAAAACACUGGCGGCAUCUGUAUUCUGUUCAUUACACGAUACGUUAAAAUGUAUCUUAUUAUUAUUACUCUAUAUACAUUAUAAAAUCUGAAAU